This is a long non-coding RNA of Cannabis sativa, 1903 nucleotides long. RefSeq lists it as uncharacterized. The transcript is spliced from 2 exons. The record is from RefSeq and is a predicted model, not a curated record. NCBI's taxonomy places the organism in Eukaryota, Viridiplantae, Streptophyta, Magnoliopsida, Rosales, Cannabaceae.
ACAGCAAGUGAUACCUCAAUCAUAGUGAGGAAGAUCGUGAAGAAAGACUUUCAGCAAGAAGGAGUUUCAGCAUUAAAGAAGGAGAGAAAAAGAUCCAGGUUCAGAUCUUGAUAAUACUCUGCGACAGAAAGGAUACAAUAGUUAGAGAUCUGAACGGAAGGAGUCAUAUUAUUCCGCUGCACCCAAUGUAAGGUUUACUAAGCUUUAUAUGUGUUUAUUUCAUCGUUUUAGAAAGUUCAUAUUUAGGGUGUUAAUCAACAUACUUGUGAGUAGAUCUAAGAUCCUGGUAAAAUAAUUUCCAACAUUGCUUCCAUGAAAUUACCACUUCUGCUGUUUAUAUUAUUAAAUUUGUUGUAAAAUAUUGUGUAUGUUAUUGACUUUUAUAUUGAAAUUCUUUAUAAUUUGAAUGGUCAUGCCAUUUAGGAUUGUUGUAAUGGUUGGAAUUAUUCAGAGUAAUGAGAAGACAUAACUUUUUGUGAUUUAUUAUUAUUAUUAUUUUUUUUUUGCAACUUUUUGGAUUUUUUUUUUGUUUUACUUUUCGGUUUGUUGCAAUUUUCGACAUUAUUUUGGUAUUGAUACGGAAAUCCUAUCAAUAGUUGUGUUACAAUAUAGGUAUUCUUCUGAAAUACUUGUUUAUUAUUAUUAUUAAAACACACUUAGUAAUAUUUAUUAUUAUUAUUAUUGUUAUUAUUAUUAUUAUUAUUUCAGCAUAAAUAGUUGUAGAUUUACACCCUAUUUCUGUUAUGAAUUACUUGAUGGAUUAAUAGUUGUGCAUAAAUGCUAAUAAUUCAUAUUACUAAGUUUUUUAAAAUGAAUGUACAUUCAAUUUUCUGAUUUUGAUAAUUUUAUAUUACUUUGAAUUUUUCGUCUUUGUUCUGUUACUUUGCUAUAUAUUAUUCACCGCUUCUGUUUUCAUACAUGAUAUAAAUCUGUGUUAAAUUGUAUAAGGUGAAGAGUAAACAUAAUAUGAUGUGUAUGUGUUUUAUUCUGAAGUUCUCUUUCCGUCAUGUAUAAUUGCUUAGCACUGUUCAGGUACAUAAAUUCGGUGUUCCAACAUUGGAGAAGAUAAAGCAUUAUUCAUUCUUUAAUUGCCUGUAUAACCCCUGGUCUGCUUGAUUUUCGCCUUACUAUUUGUACUAUAAAUAGCCAUCUAAUGCUGUACAUUCAUUUUUUUUCAAUCCAAGUAAUAGUGAUUGAACUUUCUCUUUCACAGUAUGUCUAACUGAACUUAAAGAUUGUUUGAUGCUUCAAGGCUUAAGUUUUGGUAGCUUAUUAUCUUUUAUUAUUCCAAUUGGUUUAGAUAGUUUUUGUUCUGUCCAGCUUGAUUUCUGUUAUCCAGAUUCAGAUGCCUUGGAUAUGUUUCUCAACUGGUAUCUUGGUAUGAUAACAAGUGGGACUUUGUCGGGCUCGAAGGCUUGCACAAGGUCAGUCAAUCAAGAUACAGCUAUUUGCUUCAUUUCCUGUUCAAAUUGAUGGGGAACCCUGGUUUCAGCAAUCAUGUACAUUGGCUAUAUCUCAUCAUGGCCAGGCUUUCAUGUUGAAGAGGGCUGUGGAGGAACCACUUGGUCAUGCAGCAGCCAUAAUUACAGAUGUCCUUGACAAUGCAGAGACCAACAGUGUUAUCAAUGCUUCACAGAAGCGGGCUCUCCUUCAAGAAAUGGCAUUGAGGCUGUCUUAAAAGUCUUGUUGUGCACUAGUAGGAGUGACUUUUGUGGUUGUGAUUUUUUUUCAUGAGAUUUAUAUUCUCUUCGUCGCGGAAUCGACACAUGUAACUUUUUUUCCUUUCUUUUACGAAGAAAUAUUUUACUGAUGUUGAUCACUCAAUGCUUUUAAUUGAAGCAUGAUUGUACAUGAACCUUGUUCAACAUCCAUGGAAAUGAAAUUUUGUUUAGCGCUUUUUUUA